GGGAGAAAUGAUGAUCUUCAAUCCAUAGAAAUUUCUCUGAAAGUUUUGAUGAUGAAUACCCCUUAUACAUGCACUACCAUCUGAUCUCCC
Small nucleolar RNA from Dioscorea cayenensis subsp. rotundata (Guinea yam), 90 nucleotides. NCBI's taxonomy places the organism in Eukaryota, Viridiplantae, Streptophyta, Magnoliopsida, Dioscoreales, Dioscoreaceae. The record is from RefSeq and is a predicted model, not a curated record.